GAGUGAUGAAGGCCUUCGGGUCGUAAAACUCUGUCCUCAAGGAAGAUAAUGACGGUACUUGAGGAGGAAGCCCCGGCUAACUACGUGCCAGCAGCCGCGGUAAUACGUAGGGGGCUAGCGUUAUCCGGAUUUACUGGGCGUAAAGGGUGCGUAGGCGGUCUUUCAAGUCAGGAGUGAAAGGCUACGGCUCAACCGUAGUAAGCUCUUGAAACUGGGAGACUUGAGUGCAGGAGAGGAGAGUGGAAUUCCUAGUGUAGCGGUGAAAUGCGUAGAUAUUAGGAGGAACACCAGUUGCGAAGGCGGCUCGCUGGACUGUAACUGACGCUGAGGCACGAAAGCGUGGGGAGCAAACAGGAUUAGAUACCCUGGUAGUCCACGCUGUAAACGAUGAGUACUAGGUGUCGGGGGUUACCCCC
Molecule: ribosomal RNA, 416 nt
Filed under: Clostridioides difficile
Lineage: Bacteria; Bacillati; Bacillota; Clostridia; Peptostreptococcales; Peptostreptococcaceae
Description: bacterial SSU rRNA
Rfam family: Bacterial small subunit ribosomal RNA
Source: RNAcentral